GGUAUCGAACAGGAUUAGAUACCCUGGUAGUCCGCGCGGUAAACGAUGGAUGCCCGCUGUCAGCGAUAUACAGUCGGCGGCCAAGCGAAAGCGUUAAGCAUCCCACCUGGGGAGUACGCCGGCAACGGUGAAACUCAAAGGAAUUGACGGGGGCCCGCACAAGCGGAGGAACAUGUGGUUUAAUUCGAUGAUACGCGAGGAACCUUACCCGGGCUUGAAUUGCAGAGGAAAGAUCCAGAGAUGGUGAUGCCCUUCGGGGCCUCUGUGAAGGUGCUGCAUGGUUGUCGUCAGCUCGUGCCGUGAGGUGUCGGCUUAAGUGCCAUAACGAGCGCAACCCCUUUCCCUAGUUGCCAUCGGUUCUAGCCGGGCACUCUGGGGACACUGCCUCCGCAAGGAGUGAGGAAGGUGGGGAUGACGUCAAAUCAGCACGGCCCUUACGUCCGGGGCUACACACGUGUUACAAUGGGUGAUACAGAGGGCCGGCCGCUGGCAACAUCGGUCCAAUCCUUAAAGUCAUCCUCAGUUCGGACUGGGGUCUGCAACCCGACCCCACGAAGCUGGAUUCGCUAGUAAUCGC
RNAcentral lists this ribosomal RNA (577 nucleotides) under uncultured bacterium. RNAcentral's name for it is "bacterial SSU rRNA". It matches the Rfam family "Bacterial small subunit ribosomal RNA", at positions 764 to 1345 of the family's 1533-position model. The record is from RNAcentral.